CGAGUGCCGUCCGCUGAGGAUGGCUUUUCCUUGGUGUAACUAGCCGNNGGAAUAAGGAGAGGGCAAGACUGGUGUCAGCCGCCGCGGUAAUACCAGCUCUCCGAGUGGUGGGGAUGAUUAUUGGGCUUAAAGCGUCCGUAGCCGGCUUAACAAGUCUCCNGUUAAAUCCAACGACCUAAUCGUUGGGCCGCGGGAGAUACUGUUGGGCUAGGAGGCGGGAGAGGCCGACGGUNNUNNCGGGGUAGGGGUGAAAUCCUGUAAUCCCGGGAGGACCACCAGUGGCGAAGGCUGUCGACUAGAACGCGCUCGACGGUGAGGGACGAAAGCUGGGGGAGCGAACCGGAUUAGAUACCCGGGUAGUCCCAGCUGUAAACGAUGCGGGCUAGGUGUUGGGGUGGCUACGAGCCACUUCAGUGCCGCAGGGAAGCCAUUAAGCCCGCCGCCUGGGGAGUACGGCCGCAAGGCUGAAACUUAAAGGAAUU
Molecule: ribosomal RNA, 482 nt
Filed under: uncultured bacterium
Lineage: Bacteria
Description: bacterial SSU rRNA
Rfam family: Archaeal small subunit ribosomal RNA
Source: RNAcentral